Molecule: ribosomal RNA, 497 nt
Filed under: uncultured bacterium
Lineage: Bacteria
Description: partial 16S ribosomal RNA
Rfam family: Bacterial small subunit ribosomal RNA
Source: RNAcentral
GAUGAACGCUGGCGGCGUGCCUAAUACAUGCAAGUCGAGCGAACAGACGCUGCUCUUGCUCCUCUCACGUUUGCGGCGGACGGGUGAGUAACGCGUGUAUCACCUACCUAUCAUACUGGUAUAACUUCGGGAAACCGGCUCUAAUCCCGUAUAAUAUAUUGCACCGCAUGGUUCAAUAGUGAAAGACGGUUUUGCUGUCACUUAUCGAUGCUUCCGGGCCGCAUUAGCUAGUUGUUAAGGUAACGGCUUACCACGGCGACGAUGCGUAGCCGACGUGAGAGAGGGAUAGGCGACACUGGAACGGAGACAGGGUCAAGACGCCUAAGGGAGGCAGCAGUAGGGAACGGUACGCAAUGGGCGAAAGUUUGACGGAGCAAGGCGGAGUGAGAGACGAAGGCCUUCGGAGCGGAAAAACGGGUUAUGAGGGAAGAACAAAUGUGGAAGGAAACAAGGAGGGAGUGACGGUAACGAAUAAGAAAGCAACGGCUAACUACGUG